RNAcentral lists this ribosomal RNA (824 nucleotides) under uncultured bacterium. RNAcentral's name for it is "bacterial SSU rRNA". It matches the Rfam family "Bacterial small subunit ribosomal RNA", at positions 56 to 878 of the family's 1533-position model. The record is from RNAcentral.
UGCAAGUCGAACGGAGCACCCUUGAUUGAGGUUUCGGCCAAAUGAUAGGAACGCUUAGUGGCGGACUGGUGAGUAACGCGUGAGGAACCUGCCUUUCAGAGGGGGACAACAGUUGGAAACGACUGCUAAUACCGCAUGACGCAUUUUGAUCGCAUGGUCGAAAUGCCAAAGAUUUAUCGCUGAAAGAUGGCCUCGCGUCUGAUUAGCUAGUUGGUGAGGUAACGGCCCACCAAGGCGACGAUCAGUAGCCGGACUGAGAGGUUGACCGGCCACAUUGGGACUGAGAUACGGCCCAGACUCCUACGGGAGGCAGCAGUGGGGAAUAUUGGGCAAUGGGCGCAAGCCUGACCCAGCAACGCCGCGUGAAGGAAGAAGGCUUUCGGGUUGUAAACUUCUUUUAAGUGGGAAGAGCAGAAGACGGUACCACUUGAAUAAGCCACGGCUAACUACGUGCCAGCAGCCGCGGUAAUACGUAGGUGGCAAGCGUUGUCCGGAUUUACUGGGUGUAAAGGGCGUGCAGCCGGGCAUGCAAGUCAGAUGUGAAAUCUCAGGGCUUAACCCUGAAACUGCAUUUGAAACUGUAUGUCUUGAGUGCCGGAGAGGUAAUCGGAAUUCCUUGUGUAGCGGUGAAAUGCGUAGAUAUAAGGAAGAACACCGGUGGCGAAGGCGGAUUACUGGACGGUAACUGACGGUGAGGCGCGAAAGCGUGGGGAGCGAACAGGAUUAGAUACCCUGGUAGUCCACGCUGUAAACGAUGGAUACUAGGUGUGCGGGGACUGACCCCCUGCGUGCCGCAGUUAACACAAUAAGUAUCCCACCUGGGG